GACAGAGACGCGCUCAAUCUGCGUUGUCUAACAAUCUAAACUACAAGAGUUACAGGUCUUCAAGUAAACAUGGAUUACAGGUAGACCAAUCACAGGCGUUCCUUGAGCACUUUUGAUGUCGUCAGCCUGUAAUACGGGAGCAUCUGCUGGUGGAGGAGGAAGUGUUGUCAUGGAGACGUCUAACUUCGCCCAUGUCAUCUUCCAGAAUGUUGGGAAAAGCUUCCUCCCGCAGGCAGCGCUUGAAUGUCAUUACACUCUCACCCCCUUCCUCACCCCACAUCCCAAAGACUGGGUUGGCAUCUUUAAGAGGAAAUGAGCGCACGGAAACUUUUCAUCUUGUUAAGAUACAAUGACAGUUUAUGACUGGUAUAAAAGGCACUUCAAAUUAACCAGAUCUUUCCAGACAGCAUUUAGAGUGGUGGGUUGCAGGGGAAAAUGUGGAUUGGAAAAAAUAUGGUUAAUCCACUCAAUAUCACUCUUGUUUUGAUGGUUAGUUUACGGGGAAUAGAGUUCCGGUGUGUGUGUGUGUUUGAUCACAUGUGCUGUUAUGCUGGAUGCUGUGGGUGUUUCCCAUGACAAAUUAUUCCUUCCUUAUGCUUUUGCUUUAGUAUGUUCUCCUUUCAUCCUUGCAACUUCAAUAAGAUGUAGUGUAAUAACAUAUAUUAGCUGCUAUAUGUAAUGCAUUACUGGAUAAUAGUAGUCACACUUAUAAAUGGAUGGAUGUAUUCAGACAAUAUCUAUGGACUGGCAAUUCAUUAUCAAUGAUGUAAUGUGGGAAUUAUUCUUCAGGCACUCACACAC
Molecule: long non-coding RNA, 801 nt
Organism: Sinocyclocheilus grahami
Lineage: Eukaryota; Metazoa; Chordata; Actinopteri; Cypriniformes; Cyprinidae
Exons: 3
Source: RefSeq, a predicted model, not a curated record